AUUUUGUUCAUGCAUGAUAUUAUUUAUGUCUUAAGUCUGAUUAACCAAUUAAAUAUUGAAAAUUUGAAAACUUUAACUGCAGUAUACUGCAUGAAAAUAAUUACAUACGAAAUAAUCUGUUUACAGAAUUAAACUGCUAUGAAUGAUUCUAGGCUUACAAUUGUGUAUUUUCAGAUGUAGUUUGGUCUACAGACGAUUGAUCACUGACUCUUGAAACAAAAAUGUUAAAAGUCCUAAUAAAGUAUGAAGUUUAAGUUUAUUGAGAAUCACACACUUCCAAAAGGGUUUGUCAAUUAUAGCUAAGGCUAUUUAUUCGUUGGGUUCAUCAAAAUGAUUAAUGGAGAGUAAAUUGUUUUAAAUUUUCUGAAAUUAUUGUCUAUUAGAUGCUGAAACACAAAAAAAAACCCGAUUUUUUUUUAACAUUGCAUGGUUCUGUCUGGUAUGCUUGUUCAGUACAGGUUCUGUCUGAAUAAGUAUGCUGGUUCAGCACAGGUUCAGUCUGGUGAAGUAUGCUUGUUCAGCACAGGUUUUGUCUGGUGAAGCAUGCUGUAUGAGUAUGCUUGUUCAGCUGUUCUGUCUGUCUGGUUUGUUCUGUCGAAGUAUGCUUGUUCAGCUCAGGUACUGUCAACUUUAUAGUAGAUGUUCGCUAUGACAUUUCAGUAGACAAUUAUUUCAAGUCAGCCAAUGUACAAAGCAGUUAUAAUAAAAAAAAAAAAAAAAAUAUUUUCACAAGUUUUUGAUUAAAUAUUUUUUUGAAAUUUAUUUGUGAUUUCUGGUUUGCUUGCAGCAGAGAUAUUUAAAGUAACAUGUUUCAUUUGCAUGUCUUUAGAACUAUAUUAUUGUCAUAAAACUAUGGCCUUAAACUUAUGUUAAAAUAGCUUGUUAUGUAAAGAUAACUGAGGGCUUUAAAAGUGCAAUUUGUUAAUGGUAUAUACAAUGAUUGUUAAUUUUACUUGUUACUUAUUGCAAAGGUGUUUUGUUAUGAGUUAAACUUUAUAUGUAAAAAUUGUU
Molecule: long non-coding RNA, 1011 nt
Filed under: Mytilus galloprovincialis (Mediterranean mussel)
Lineage: Eukaryota; Metazoa; Mollusca; Bivalvia; Mytilida; Mytilidae
Source: RNAcentral